UGUGGGACCAAUGCUUUUUGUGCCUG
RNAcentral lists this non-coding RNA (26 nucleotides) under Homo sapiens (human). The record is from RNAcentral. Lineage: Eukaryota; Metazoa; Chordata; Mammalia; Primates; Hominidae.